Molecule: long non-coding RNA, 206 nt
Filed under: Carica papaya (papaya)
Lineage: Eukaryota; Viridiplantae; Streptophyta; Magnoliopsida; Brassicales; Caricaceae
Description: long non-coding RNA (CPAP_LNC004881)
Source: RNAcentral
AACGAAAUGGAUCAUCCCAUUGCAUGGAUAGCACACACAUAAAUCACACAAUGGGCACAGCAAAUACAUUUGCUAGGUGACCCACACUUACACAAAUGUACAUUCAUGUCUGGAUUAGGUUUCAGACUCUAUCCAUAUACAAGUUCACCAUGUCCGCUGAACUUCAGCCACACGAACACACUCCUCUCCUCAAUUCAAAGUAAACA